AACCUUGUGGCACAAUGGUAGCACGUCUGACUCCAGAUCAGAAGGCUGCAUGUUCGAAUCAUGUCGGGGUCA
This is a transfer RNA of Colius striatus (speckled mousebird), 72 nucleotides long. It matches the Rfam family "tRNA". Rfam says of the family: Transfer RNA (tRNA) molecules are approximately 80 nucleotides in length. Their secondary structure includes four short double-helical elements and three loops (D, anti-codon, and T loops). The record is from Rfam. Lineage: Eukaryota; Metazoa; Chordata; Aves; Coliiformes; Coliidae.